GAUGAACGCUGGCGGCGUGCUUAACACGUGCAAGUCGAACGGAAAGGCCCAAGCUUGCUUGGGUACUCGAGUGGCGAACGGGUGAGUAACACGUGGGUGAUCUGCCCUGCACUUCGGGAUAAGCCUGGGAAACUGGGUCUAAUACCGGAUAGGACGAUGGUUUGGAUGCCAUUGUGGAAAGUUUUUUCGGUGUGGGAUGAGCUCGCGGCCUAUCAGCUUGUUGGUGGGGUAAUGGCCUACCAAGGCGUCGACGGGUAGCCGGCCUGAGAGGGUGUACGGCCACAUUGGGACUGAGAUACGGCCCAGACUCCUACGGGAGGCAGCAGUGGGGAAUAUUGCACAAUGGGCGCAAGCCUGAUGCAGCGACGCCGCGUGGGGGAUGACGGCCUUCGGGUUGUAAACUCCUUUCGCUAGGGACGAAGCGUUUUUGUGACGGUACCUGGAGAGGAAGCACCGGCUAACUACGUG
This 468-nucleotide ribosomal RNA is filed under the name uncultured bacterium. Its description in RNAcentral is "partial 16S ribosomal RNA". It matches the Rfam family "Bacterial small subunit ribosomal RNA", at positions 28 to 507 of the family's 1533-position model. The record is from RNAcentral.